Molecule: long non-coding RNA, 1424 nt
Filed under: Calidris pugnax (ruff)
Lineage: Eukaryota; Metazoa; Chordata; Aves; Charadriiformes; Scolopacidae
Description: lncRNA (ENSCPUG00000003420.1)
Source: RNAcentral
AGAAUGUUAACAAUCUCUUAAUUUGAUAUUGCAUGAUUUCAAAAACAUUUUUGUGCCAAAUUGUCAUACUUCUCCUCUAUUUCAUCCUUUCUCCGAGGACAGUAUGGGUUCCAGCUCUGAAAUGCAAAUACCAGCCCCGGUGCUCUGGCUUCCCUCGCAAAGGUUAAGAACACAUUUAUCGUGCUGUUCCUGGCGGUCGGAAAAGGGCAGGAGAUGGGGACCGAGACAAGGGCUCUGGCACCGCACAGGACCCAGCUCAGCCACAGCCAGCUUCAUAACCAUAGGGCCAUCCACCUCCUCCUCAGGGGAGAAGAGCCCUCCCAGCUUUCUGGGGGUGCCCCUUGCGUCAGGCUGCAGCUCCCCAAGAGGAUCCAGGGAAAGGAGCUCAUGUUCACACCACAACACCAGUUCUACAAGGAAGUGAAGGGCCGGGAUGGCACUUUCUCAGCUGCCAGCUCGUGAGUCAUUAUUUCCUUUGGCUUUCCUCUCCCACUAGCUGCUUCCUUCAGUCACGCAACCCUAUUUAUCAGCUGGAGACAGACAUCAAAGCGCAGGGUUUCCACCCGCUCCUCCCAGGAAGGCAGACGGUCCCUGCUCACGACACGGGUGCUCAUGCUUAGCCCCUCACUCUGCUGCCACCGGGAGCUGGGGGGGGUCCACAUCCCAACCCUGUGCCCCAGCAGUCCCCCAGGACCCCUUUGGCUCUCCCAUGGUCCCAACCCCACCGCCAACACCCCCAGGAGCCAGGCUCCCCAGGCCUCCCUCCUUGCACUGCAGGCUGGAUGGGCUCUUGGCAUUUUGUUGGAUUUAAGGGGGAGAAAAAGUCAUUCAGUCAGUGCUGAUUUCCUAACUCAGUGUAACCUUUUCACUUCCAAGCUAAGGACAGCUUGACAUUUCCUCUGCAUCCCUGGGAGAGGAUACAAAACCUCUCAGCUUUGCUCCUGACACCACUGCACAUCUCUGGGACACAUUGUGCAUCAUCAAACGUGAAAAACAUUCAACUAAUUUUUAAAGCCCGUACUCACUGGUUCAGCCACUUGACUCACCAUCGUUGAAAACCUGCAGCGUGUGCAGCUCUGUUCUGCCCUCUCCACUGUGCUCCCUGCCAUGGCUGUGAGACGGUGAAGCUGAUUUUAUCGCAAGGGAACCCAGAAUCAAUUCCCACCAUCUUCCAGGCGCUCCCUUCAUUGCCUGGGUGAUGAACUGUAAGCACACAUUGCCUUCGUGUCCCCUGUACCCCUCUGUGCCCUGGCACAGUGUGUGAGCGGCCACGGCAGGCAGUCCCACCAUCCCACCGGGCACUGGGUGUUAUGGGACGCCAGCUGACAGUGCUGCCCUACAUCUCCUUGGGGUUUGGGUGAGGGAGUUGACUGCGUUGGCACUUCAUAUUUUUAUUUUUUCAUUUCUUGGAGGCCAGCCUUUGA